AAAUCAUUGAUCAGCUCUAUAGUUUAGUAAGAGUUAUUCCACCAUUCUCCUGCCAGAUCUAUUCUUCACUGCAUUAUCACUGUUUGGCAGUGCUGUAGUUCCUGCCUGCGGCCAACCUGGGAAGCUACUCCUCCAAUAUGCAGAUAUUUACCUAAUCUUUCCAGCACAGAGGUUGUUUGAUUUCGGAGGUCCAGAAGUGUUUCUGAAAUUUCACUCUGCUUCUGUGUUGGGAUGGCACCCAGGUAUGUAUUAUCUCAUUCUUUCUCCCUAAUCAAUUAUUUGAAUGGCCUAAAAAG
RNAcentral lists this long non-coding RNA (296 nucleotides) under Phasianus colchicus (ring-necked pheasant). RNAcentral describes it as "lncRNA (ENSPCLG00000002456.1)". Lineage: Eukaryota; Metazoa; Chordata; Aves; Galliformes; Phasianidae. The record is from RNAcentral.